AACGAACGCUGGCGGCAUGCCUAACACAUGCAAGUCGAACGAGACCUUCGGGUCUAGUGGCGCACGGGUGCAUAACGCGUGGGAAUCUGCCUAAAGGUUCGGAUUAACAGUUAGAAAUGACUGCUAAUACCGGGUGAUGUCUUCGGACCAAAGAUUUAUCGCCUUUAGAUGAGCCCGCGUAGGAUUAGCUUGUUGGUGGGGUAAAGGCCUACCAAGGCGACGAUCCUUAGCUGGUCUGAGAGGAUGAUCAGCCACACUGGGACUGAGACACGGCCCAGACUCCUACGGGAGGCAGCAGUGGGGAAUAUUGGACAAUGGGCGAAAGCCUGAUCCAGCAAUGCCGCGUGAGUGAUGAAGGCCUUAGGGUUGUAAAGCUCUUUUACCCGGGAUGAUAAUGACAGUACCGGGAGAAUAAGCCCCGGCUAACUCCGUGCCAGCCGCCGCAGUAA
Molecule: ribosomal RNA, 449 nt
Filed under: uncultured bacterium
Lineage: Bacteria
Description: partial 16S ribosomal RNA
Rfam family: Bacterial small subunit ribosomal RNA
Source: RNAcentral